Molecule: long non-coding RNA, 305 nt
Filed under: Gallus gallus (chicken)
Lineage: Eukaryota; Metazoa; Chordata; Aves; Galliformes; Phasianidae
Description: long non-coding RNA NONGGAT002399
Source: RNAcentral
GGGCUCUGCUUUCUUAACCAACACCUGCCUUGUAGCAGGGCUGUCCCGUGGUCUGCACUGCACGGGCACUCAGAGUGGAUGGGCCCCUCGCAGCAGUGCUGUGACAGUGUUCUCUUCUUCCUUGACAGGUUGUGGCACGGCACAAGGGGGGACUCCUCAGCAUGCUGGAGCUCUCAGAGAGCAAGUCUGCAGGUGCUGACACGGGGACCCACAUCCCUGCAGUAGACGACCAACGGAAGCCCACCGCGCUGCCACCCGGCGCCGAGGAUGAGCAGAAGGCCGAGCGCAGCGCACGCUCCCUCCCG